RNAcentral lists this transfer RNA (90 nucleotides) under Candidatus Bathyarchaeota archaeon. RNAcentral describes it as "tRNA-Glu". It matches the Rfam family "tRNA". From Rfam's summary of the family: Transfer RNA (tRNA) molecules are approximately 80 nucleotides in length. Their secondary structure includes four short double-helical elements and three loops (D, anti-codon, and T loops). Lineage: Archaea; Thermoproteati; Candidatus Bathyarchaeota. RNAcentral also lists the same sequence under 2 other names. The record is from RNAcentral.
GCUCCGGUAGUAUAGCCCGGUUAAAUAAAGCCGAAAGUAUGGCGGGCUCUCGACCCGUCGACGCGGGUUCAAAUCCCGCCCGGAGCACCA